RNAcentral lists this non-coding RNA (30 nucleotides) under Rattus norvegicus (Norway rat). The record is from RNAcentral. Lineage: Eukaryota; Metazoa; Chordata; Mammalia; Rodentia; Muridae.
UCCUCCCAGCAGCCAUUUUUGUUUUCCAAG